AGCGUAGGCGGCUGAUUAAGUCAGCGGUGAAAGGUAGCAGCUUAACUGUUUUACAUGCCGUUGAUACUGGUUAGCUUGAGUUGACAGAAGGCAGAUAGAAUUCCUGAUGUAGCGGUGAAAUGCUUAGAUAUCAGGAGGAAUACCGAUUGCGAAGGCAGUCUGCUGCAGUCACACUGACGCUCAUAUGCGAAAGCGUGGGGAUCAAACAGGAUUAGAUACCCCAGUA
This 226-nucleotide ribosomal RNA is filed under the name uncultured Emticicia sp. RNAcentral describes it as "partial 16S ribosomal RNA". It matches the Rfam family "Bacterial small subunit ribosomal RNA", at positions 567 to 792 of the family's 1533-position model. The record is from RNAcentral. Lineage: Bacteria; Pseudomonadati; Bacteroidota; Cytophagia; Cytophagales; Leadbetterellaceae.